CCUACGGGAGGCAGCAGUGAGGAAUAUUGGUCAAUGGGCGCGAGCCUGAACCAGCCAAGUAGCGUGAAGGAUGACUGCUCUACGGGUUGAAAACUUCUUUUAUAAAGGAAUAGAGUGAGGCACGUGUGCCUUUUUGCAUGUACUUACUGAAUAAGGAUAGGCUAACUCCGUGCCAGCAGCCGCGGUAAUACGGAGGAUCCGAGCGUUAUCCGGAUUUAGUGGGUUUAAAGGGAGCGUAGAUGGGUUGUUAAGUCAGUUGUGAAAGUUUGCGGCUCAACCGCAAAAUUGCAAUUGAUACUGGCAGCCUUGAGUACAGUUGAGGUAGGCGGAAUUCGUGGUGUAGCGGUGAAAUGCUUAGAUAUCACGAAGAACUCCGAUUGCGAAGGCAGCUUACUAAACUGCCACUGACAUUGAUGCUCGAAAGUGUGGGUAUCAAACAGGAUUAGAUACCCCAGUAGUC
This 460-nucleotide ribosomal RNA is filed under the name uncultured bacterium. Its description in RNAcentral is "partial 16S ribosomal RNA". It matches the Rfam family "Bacterial small subunit ribosomal RNA", at positions 338 to 795 of the family's 1533-position model. The record is from RNAcentral.